This 1224-nucleotide ribosomal RNA is filed under the name metagenome. Its description in RNAcentral is "bacterial LSU rRNA". It matches the Rfam family "Bacterial large subunit ribosomal RNA", at positions 1717 to 2925 of the family's 2925-position model. The record is from RNAcentral.
GCAAAUUGACACCGUAACUUCGGGAGAAGGUGUGCCGCUGGCGGUUAGUGACUUCGCGUCACGAAGCUGUCGGUGGUCGCAGUGAAAUGGCGGUUGUGACUGUUUACUAAAAACACAGGACUCUGCGAAGUCGUAAGACGACGUAUAGGGUCUGAUGCCUGCCCGGUGCUGGAAGGUUAAGGGGAUAUGUCAGCGCAAGCGAAGCAUUGAACCGAAGCCCCAGUAAACGGCGGCCGUAACGAUAACGGUCCUAAGGUAGCGAAAUUCCUUGUCGGGUAAGUUCCGACCUGCACGAGGGCAUAACAACAUCCGCACUGUCUCGACCAGGGACUCAGCGAAAUUACAUUGGGGGUGAAGAUGCCCUCUACCCGCGGAAAGACGGAAAGACCCCAUGAACCUUUACUGCAACUUGGCAGUGAUUUUCGGGUUGUUCUGCGUAGGAUAGGUGGGAGGCUUUGAAGCCGGGCUUCCGGGUUCGGCAGAGCCAACGUUGAAAUACCACCCUGAAUAAUCUGGAAAUCUAACCUGCGCCCAUGAUCUGGGCGAGGGACACUGCCUGGUGGGCAGUUUGACUGGGGCGGUCGCCUCCUAAAUUGUAACGGAGGCGUGCGACGGUUCCCUCAGGCUGAUCGAAACCAGCCGUAGAGUGCAAACGCAUAAGGGAGCUUUACUGCGAGACUGACAAGUCGAACAGUUGCGAAAGCAGGUGUUAGUGAUCCGGUGGUACCACAUGGAAGGGCCAUCGCUCAUCGGAUAAAAGGUACUCUGGGGAUAACAGGCUGAUCGCGCCUGAGAGUUCACAUCGGCGGCGCGGUUUGGCACCUCGAUGUCGGCUCAUCGCAUCCUGGGGCUGGAGCAGGUCCCAAGGGUUUGGCUGUUCGCCAAUUAAAGCGGUACGCGAGCUGGGUUUAAAACGUCGUGAGACAGUUUGGUCCCUAUCUUCCGUGGGCGCAGGACACUUGAGAGGAGCUAUCCAUAGUACGAGAGGACCUGGAUGGACGAACCUCUGGUGCUCCGGUUGUCACGCCAGUGGCAUAGCCGGGUAGCCAUGUUCGGAACAGAUAACCGCUGAAGGCAUAUAAGCGGGAAGCUGGCCUCAAGACUAGGUGUCCCUGACGCAAGUCACUAAAGGCCCCUCGAAGACUACGAGGUUGAUAGGCUCGGUGUGGAAGCGCUGCGAGGCGUGGAGCUAACGAGUACUAAUAGGCCGUGCGACUUGACCUC